UCAUAAUCUGUUUGGUGGAAGCAAUAAGAAUUAUUUUUUAUUUUUAUUUUUCACUCAGAAAAUCAGUUUCUCUCAAACUCUACCCGAUACAAAAUUUUGCACUUCUUCGAAGAAAUCGAAACCACUUUUACCUGGGUGCGUUUCAAGCGGCGAUCAACAACAGCGAGAUCCCUAAUCUUUCGCAGGAGGAUCAACAACGGCGAUUGCCUUGUCCACCGCUCUUACAUCGCUCUCGGUAGCUACUAGCUUGUCAUCAAUGAGAUCGACGAAGCGUCCGCUACUCCUCUGCAGGCAGUCAAGCUCCUUGCUAUGUAUCUAUCGAGUCCUGAAAAUAAGGAAUCAACCAUUUCAAGCUUGAAGGAAUGGUUGGCAGAUCCAACCGUAGGAAACAAUGCUACUAUUCGUUUGAUUGCUGGACAAGAACUCUGCUAUUGCUGGAAGUAGAAAGAUCGUACAUACCAAUGUUUCUUCAGGUAAAUAACUUCUUUUAUGAAUCCUGUUUUUUUUUCUUUUGUAAUUUACGGUUGCAUAGAUAUGGAUUGGUUUAUGAUGAUAGAUAUUGAUUCAUGUUAUUGCUGAUAUUGGUGUAUGAUUGAUGGUUUAGAGCUUGUUGAACAGAUAUGGUUUCAAUGCUUUGUACUGUUAGGUUAUAGAUAGAAAGUGAAAAAAUGGUUACUGCUGUGUGAUUAAUGCUGCUAGAUUAUGUAUGUACUGUAUGUUUGUAAUUUAAAUUAAUGAAA
Molecule: long non-coding RNA, 740 nt
Organism: Eutrema salsugineum
Lineage: Eukaryota; Viridiplantae; Streptophyta; Magnoliopsida; Brassicales; Brassicaceae
Exons: 4
Source: RefSeq, a predicted model, not a curated record